CACACUUUUCUUCAUACAUGCCAUGGAUGACAUCAAUUCAUUUUUGAUUUAUGUUUGAUUCCAAAACAUUUAUCUCCCAACCUGAAAUGAUUGACCAUCAAGAACAUCUACAACAAAAUUGGAGCAAUUAGAUAACCUAACUAGGACCCACAAGAGAAACGAGAAAAGGUUUGACAACUCAACUUGUAAUGCAAUUUUCCCAUAGAAAAAGACAAGCAUGUAAUGAAGCUUCUCCAGAACAGCUUCUUUCUACUGCCACUGGUAAUGCAAUUUAUUGCAGUGCAAUUCUAUUCAAAAGAAAAUAUUAUGGAAUGAUCUAGAGUAGACUGGACAAAACACAAAGGGUUUUCAACUAUCAUUGCAUUCAAAUAAUUGGAGAAUGCCUGCCUACAAAAGGAUCAGUUUAACUCUAGCCUACACCUGUGUGGAAUGCUCGAGUUUAUACAUGAUUUGGUAGGCCUCUUUGGCCCCCAAAAUCCAAUCCCCCGUUUCCAUAUGAUACAGAUUCCAGCCUGAAUACGACAAAUCUUCAGGCAGGUGUAUUCACAUAGUGUCCUGUUUUUCUCCUAUGCCGGCUAAAGUCUGAUACAAACCUGAAAGAGAGGCCACAGUCUUCAACCUUGCACUUGUAUGGCUUCUCUCCAGUAUGCACCCGUAUAUGCUCAGUUCUAGCCCAUGCCCACUUGAAUGACAUGGAGCAACCCUUCCAUGGGCACUUGAGGGGUCUAUCACCUUCGUGAACACGUUGAUGAAUUAUUGCAUAUUUGUGGGUGCUAAAUUUCUUCCUACACCCUUCAUAUGGGCACUGGUUGCGUUUGUGCAACUGUAGCUCUGCCUUUGUCUUAAAACUCAUGGUGCAGCCUUCCAGGUCACACUUGUGAGAUCUCUUCAUGAUUUCUUUCUUUUUUGUGCAAGGAACUGAAAUAUCAGAAGGUUUUCUGGCCUUCUUUCUCAGUGGAUUCUCUUGAGUUGAUUUUCUAUUAUCAAUCCCAUUUCUACACGUUGCAUCUUUCCCAGCCCUCGGCCUCAAUCCUUCACAUGGGCUUUUAAUAAAGCCACUGCAAUUUAAUGUCUUGUCUGUUAGCUGCUCAACUUCAUUUUUCCUUUUUCUGCCCUUCCCAGCAGUUGAUCUAGGACCUACCACCGUGGAUUUGGUACUUUCCAAUUCACAUGAUGAACAAACUUCUUGGCCCUUGAGCAUAAUAUUUUCUAUUGUGCAAGAUUCUUCAUCAGUUCCAGAACAUUUUUUAAAUGGGUCUGGAUUAGGCUGAUUUAUCUGCGUAACUUGGCUAGAGAGAGGUUCCUCAUUAGUUGCACUCGUAGUCUGACAUAUUUUGUGCCCUUCAUCAUCCCUAGUCACCCAAUCAUCUGAGUGAAUUUGCUGCUGCAAGUCAGUGUAUAAAUUGACACCAAUAGACAAGUCUUCAGCAAUACAUUUCUCUCUUGGAGCUUCAGAAUAUUCCCCAACUGAACAAGGAACAAUUGGAUCUUGCAUUUGAGCAGGGGAAUUAGGGAUUACUUCCUCCACAUUGCUUCUGUUAGCAGUUGAAAUUUCUAACAGUAUUUCAGAAUCAGAAACUGAGCCAGUGAACAAGUCCCCUUUAGCUGAGAUCCCUCCAAUAACUUCAUGAUAUCCUUCCAGUGAAGAGGUAGUAGGUUGAUCUAUAUCCAUUUGUGUCAAAGGACACGAGAUGUGCUCUACUUUUCUUUCAUUUGUGGUCUGAAUUGCUUGCUGCCCCCUGUUCUCUGAAGUCACACCAUUGCACAAGUCGACUGCAGCACAGGGCUCCCUCAAAAUUUCAGAACUUCCACCCACAGAGACACAAUUUACCAAUCGAAUAUUGCCUGAAAUGAGUUCCUCCCCCUUACUUCCACCAGUAAUUGCAACUUCAUUCAGUUUAUCUUCCGCAAAACAGUUUUCUUGUGGAAAUCCAGCCCUUUCUUCCACUAAGGUAGAAUGCUGAUUUUUUAGUUUGUCAUCAUAUGAAAUGCUUUGGCUACAGUCACUUUUGCCUGUAGUUGGGAGUUUUAGCUGCAAUUCAUCGCCCAAAGUCAUACGACCAGUAACCUCAUUAUUCAUGCAAGAUUUCUUAGCAACUAUGCUCUCCAUUUGCCCUGCAGGCAGACAAGAGGCAUGCAAACUUACUGAGAUGGAAAGAUCGGAAACCUCAUUUGUCAAAACAUCUUUACCAGUCAGGUCUUUGUGCUGUCCUUUAGAAACCAUGCUACAAGUCUCAUGCCUGAGGUUGAUGAUCUUUUCCAUUAUUUGAUACUCUCCUUGUAUUCCAAAUCUUUCAUCAGCUGCAAUUACAAAUGGAAUAGAGCAUUCUAUCGCAUUAGAAUCCUCAACCUCACUAGUUCCUCCAGUGACCUUUUCUUCAUGCUGCAUCUCCGAACUACCACAGGCUGCUACGUUGCAGCCAAUCUCAUAGCCUUUUGAUUCUUCCAAAAUUUGACACUCAACAUCUCUUACAACUUGUUCAACAGCUACACUAGCAGUUAGAAGUGAACCAGCAACAUGUAAAGGUGCAGAAUUCAAGCUCAUAUUGUCAGUUGCUUCAAGCACCUGGACUUCAUGCAGUACUCCAGACAUUCCAAUGGGAGAGAAAUCAAAUCCUGCAGAAUCACUUCCACUUGUCUCAACAUUAGAAGGACUAAUCUUGGAUGUUUUGCCAUAAUGCUUCACAUGAUCUUGACAAUCAGAAACUGAAACUUCUUCCAUCACAUGAUUUCUGGGGCAGCCUUGACCCCAACUUGCAGAACAAUCUAUUUUAACCUUGUACUUCCUUCUUGUAUAUUGAAUGAGUUUUUCCCCCUUUUCAAUACUGGCUCUACCUGACCUUCCCCCCAAUGCACAAUCUUUGUUUGUUUCAACAGUGUCACAUGGCUUACAGUGAGCGGGCGAAUUUAACUUGGUUCUUGACCUUGAUCUUCUGGAUUGCCAUUUGAUAUUUAAGAAAUCUGAACUGGAACUUUCAUCAGAAAAUACUCCCCGCAAUGCUAAAGCAUGCUGUACUUUACUAGAUGGACUUUCAUCAGAAAAUAGCCCCCCCAAUGCUAAAGCAUGCUGAACUUUUCUAGAUGGAGCGUUCUUUCUAACCUUUACACAGCACUGUAAGUUGAUCCCCAUUCUUGAAGUCCAAUCUUCUCCACAUUCAUCAUGGUCUUCAUCAUCAAUUGCGAGACAUAUCAAGUUCAGAUCUUCCUGGGAUGCAUUUUCUAGUGCAACCUCAUUGUAAUUGAAAGGAGUGCCAAUAUCCUCUGAAAUGGCGGUAGCAUGUGCCUUUAUUUUCUGAUAGUCUGAAUGGCAAAUUAUAAGCAUGUUUGCUCCACCUUUAGACUGCAACAAUUCCUCAAUUUGGACAGCAUGCUCCAGGCAGAAAAUCCGAGGUCUCAGAAAUUUACUAGAAUUAUUCCACCCUCUGGGCAUUGGCAGAUCCGUCAGAGGAAGAAAAAGGUCAGGCACAGGAUGGAGAUCAUCUGGAACAGAGCACUUGAUAGAGCCACCACAGGCUACAGAGGAAUGACAAUUUUCAGAUUUUUCAACCCUUGAUCUUUCUUGAACCAAAGGAUGAUCCACUGGAAGAAGUUCUAUUGAUGCCCUCUCAGAUGGUUGCACCACACACAUAAAUGGAAAACCAAGUAUCCCACAAGCCACACAUGCCAAUGUUCCUGAAUCAACUUGAAAAUCACAUGAUAAAUCAUCAUCUUCCACAUAUAAAUCAUUGAGAGAUUCCAUAUACAAACUCAUCUCCUUAAACAGAUCAUUCCCAGUAGUGCCACUUUUAUCUUCAGAAUGAGCAUGCAAAACAUUUUCUUCUGAUGAGGUAGCAAUAGUAAUAGGCAACUGAGACUCUUUACUUGCACACGGCAACAAAUCAGGGUUCCAUAUUACCACAUUGUAAGCGGAAUCUUUCCCAAGAAGAACAGAUAAAAUACCAUUUUCUUUCAAUAUAUCUUCUAUAAAAGCCUUCUUCACUGACAACUCCCUUUCUUCUUUCAGACGGUCUCUAAGACGAGAACUCCGUGCACCUGGCAGCAGUGAUCUAGGUACCCUGGAAACAAAAGACAUAGUCAACAGGUAUAGCAGCUGCUGAUGGGAAAGCAUGGGAAGAUAAUUCAUGGCAGCUCUGCGUACUGCAGCUUCCCUGGCUACUUUAAGCCAUUGUGGAGUUCCAAAAUUAGCCGCUUCCCCACAGUUAAAACCAUGGCUGAAUCCUACAUGAUAAGCCCGUGGAAAAGUCACAACAAAGUCACCAGGAUUCUGUAUUAACCUACAACAAGGAAUGUUGGAUGAAACUACCACCUCAGGUGACAAAAGGGUUGUCUUCUCACCCAACAAUGUCAGAGCACCUAAGCGAUCAAUACUGCCACCAUAAGCCUCAGUACAGAUAACUUCCUCAAAUGCAAAUGCAUAAUCUCCGGGGACAGCAUACCAAGUCUUUGGAGAGCCAGUAUGCAGAAAAUUCAUGCUGUGAAGCUCAUGAUCUUCAACAUGCCAAGCAAACCAACUGAACAGCAUACCAAUAUAAAUCAUAGGGGAAGUAACACCUGGGAUAUCGUCUGGCAUGAAUCGCGUAAUUGACCCAGGUGAGCGUGCAAUUACUUGCAGAUUCCAAGGGCUGUUAGAAAGCUUCCAACCUGCAGUACCUUCCAUAUCACUGGUAGCAUUAACACUUUUUCGCUUAGAAGAUCUCAAAUUAUCCUCCAAAAUGGAGGUUGAAGAAGUAAUAGAUGAUGUGGGUAUUGGUCCUGAGGAUGUACUUGGGUCAUUCGUAAAAGCAGCACCCUUAAUUUCAUCAUUACAUGAAUUAUUUACAUUAUCCAUUUCAUUUUUCUUGAAAUCAGAACUUUCUGUACUCCUUCUAUACGACUUAUAUGAUGCCCUCUUCCUUCUUCGUCUAUGAAAAUACCGAAACUGACCCUCUGGCUCUCCAAAACCCGACCCAGGCACGUCAUUUGCAUAUUCCACAUGGAUAGGCUUCUCUGAAGCUGCUUUCCAGAACAAUGCUUCUAUAACCAAUGGAUUAACCUCCUUAAUCAUACCCAACAAACUCCUUGCAAAAGCCUUGGAUUUAGACUCAAAUUGUUCCAAUGUGUAAAUCUCCCCACUUUGCCAUACUUGCUUAUGAACACCCAAUUGGGGGCUCUCCUUAACCAUCCCUUUUGUUCUCUUCAUACCCUGUCCCAACUCCUGAUGCCUGGUCGUAAAUACAGCUCUAACCUCCCCUUCAUUAGUACAAUCCGCUAAACCCGUUUUCAAUGAGGAAGAAGCAUUUGACAAAUCCACACCAUCACCCAAUUCCGGACAUUUGGAAAGGGACUUAUUCAAGUUAUAAAAAACGUACCUUUUGGAAGGUUUAGGCAAGGGAGGUAUAAUCUUACAUAUACCAAAGGCACUAGCUUCCUUCUCAAUUUUCGAUAUAUAAGCAAUUGGGUCUGCAAAUUCAGUAUCAGUAGGCCGGAACUCGGGGGCCAAGGGCAAAUCUUUAAGCCAUUUGGGUAUUUCCACAUUACCCAUUUCAACAAAGAUUCAGAUUAACAAUACCCACUUGACAGAAGAAAUAUAUAACAAAAACAUGAAGCUCAAUUAUACAGCAUUUCCCUAUCAUUGAAGCUGCAAAGAAGAGCUCAUCUAAACCCUAGAUUCAAGAUUUUCUAUAGGUGAAACUGUAAAAUGGGUUUUUGCUUCUAUAGUGAUUGAAUUUUGAAGAUACCCCAACUUCAAGAAAUUGACAAAAUAGAGUGCAUGUAAAGGUAAAAUUUAAAAGAUGAAAAUAAAAUGAACCUGUUAACUCCAAGAGACUGUUUUGAAUUUCCCUUCUUCAAAGAAACCAAAUAAGAAGAGAGGGAGAGCGAAGGGGGGAGAGAAUUAGGGUGUUUGUCUAGGUUUUAAGUGACAUUUCUUAUCCAGCGUAUGAUAGUAAUGCAUACUGGGGAUACAUUAACAUGUACCUCGAGGACAUAGAGCACGAGUGUUUCUAGGCCGCGAGUUUCGGUGCAGGGUUUUUAAGCCCGAAACUCAGAGCUUCGUAGUUCGUUGUGCAACAACAGCGCACUUUAGCAGUGAGCGCUGAUAAAAUAAUGAGAUGAGAGGAUUAUCUGGGGUGAGUAUAGCCAAAUUAUCAAUGAAUUUAAGCAUGGACACAGAACACCGCAUUUUUAAUGAACGACCAACCCUUUAGGAGAUAUUAGCAUUAAUGGAAAAGAGGCAUCACAGAUGGGGUCCAAGGUCCAAGCAUAACAGGAAAGGCACCUAAGCCCAAACCA
Molecule: unclassified non-coding RNA, 6270 nt
Filed under: Hevea brasiliensis (rubber tree)
Lineage: Eukaryota; Viridiplantae; Streptophyta; Magnoliopsida; Malpighiales; Euphorbiaceae
Source: RNAcentral